AACAUAUUUUCAUUUGUAAAAAGAAAUAUAUCUUUUUCAUUAUUAGUGUCCAGAAAUUAGAACAUCAAAUUUUGAGAACUGCGUGUAAAAUAAAAGCAACCAAUGUGUUGUCAGAGUGACCUUCAAAAAUAAUAAAUUCAGAGAUCUUCAAAAUUGAAGAAGAAAAUUUAGAAAAGAAAGAUUUAAAAUAUGUGUGUCAGUCUAUGUAUAGAGAGAGAAGAAAACUGUGCCCGGCAUAAUCUAAAAAUCGAGCAGAAUUUCACAAAAUAUUGGAUGAUAUUGGUGUUGUUACAAACAAAGAUGAUGACUUUGUAUUGUGUAACGGUCCAGAAAGCGGUAUAAUUUUAUUAGGAUGCGAGGCUAAUUUGAAAUUUCAGUGUACAAUGUCAGAGGAUUUUUUGGCUGUUGGUACCUAGUCAAUCAUUUAGUUGUUAUAUAUAAAUAAAAAUAUAUAAAAUUGGUGCAAUUAGAUGAUUAUUUUAUUGGCGC
This 489-nucleotide long non-coding RNA is filed under the name Mytilus galloprovincialis (Mediterranean mussel). The record is from RNAcentral. Lineage: Eukaryota; Metazoa; Mollusca; Bivalvia; Mytilida; Mytilidae.